GGCGAACGGGUGAGUAACGCGUUGGUGACCUGCCCCGAAGUGGGGGAUAACAGUUCGAAAAGGACUGCUAAUACCGCAUACAAUCAGUUGGGUUAGAGACCUUCUGAUAAAAGGAGUAAUUCGCUUCGGGAGGGGCCUGCGUCCCAUCAGCUAGUUGGUAAGGUAAUGGCCUACCAAGGCGAUGACGGGUAGGGGACCUGAGAGGGUGGCCCCCCACAAUGGCACUGAAACACGGGCCAUACACCUACGGGUGGCAGCAGUAGGGAAUAUUGGACAAUGGGCGAAAGCCUGAUCCAGCAACGCCGCGUGUGCGAUGACGGCCUUCGGGUUGUAAAGCACUUUUAGAGGAGAUGAGAAAGGACAGUAUCCUCUGAAUAAGCCUCGGCGAACUACGUGCCAGCAGCCGCGGUAAAACGUAGGAGGCUAGCGUUAUCCGGAUUUAUUGGGCGUAAAGCGCGUGCAGGCGGUCUAUCAAGUUGGAUGUGAAAGCUCCUGGCUUAACUGGGAGAGGUCGUUCAAAACUGAUAGACUAGAGAAUGGUAGAGGGAGGUGGAAUUCCGGGUGUAGUGGUGAAAUGCGUAGAUAUCCGGAGGAACGCCAGUGGCGAAAGCGGCCUCCUGGGCCAUUUCUGACGCUAAGACGCGAAAGCUAGGGUAGCGAACGGGAUUAGAGACCCCGGUAGUCCUAGC
RNAcentral lists this ribosomal RNA (689 nucleotides) under uncultured bacterium. RNAcentral describes it as "bacterial SSU rRNA". It matches the Rfam family "Bacterial small subunit ribosomal RNA", at positions 97 to 800 of the family's 1533-position model. The record is from RNAcentral.